GACGAACGCUGGCGGCGUGCUUAACACAUGCAAGUCGAACGGGAGAGGAUGAGGAAAUGCUUCGGCAUGGAGACAUCCGAUCUAGUGGCGGACGGGUGAGUAACGCGUGAGCAACCUGUCCUGCACAGGGGGAUAACACUGAGAAAUCAGUGCUAAUACCGCAUGAGACCACAGUAUCACAUGGUACAGGGGUCAAAGGAGAAAUCCGGUGCAGGGUGGGCUCGCGUCCCAUUAGCUAGUUGGUAGGGUAAAGGCCUACCAAGGCGACGAUGGGUAGCCGGACUGAGAGGUUGGCCGGCCACACUGGGACUGAGACACGGCCCAGACUCCUACGGGAGGCAGCAGUGGGGAAUAUUGGGCAAUGGGCGAAAGCCUGACCCAGCAACGCCGCGUGAAGGAAGAAGGUCUUUGGAUUGUAAACUUUUGUCCUAUGGGAAGAAGGAAGUGACGGUACCAUGGGAGGAAGCCCCGGCUAACUACGUGCCAGCAGCCGCGGUAAUACGUAGGGGGCGAGCGUUGUCCGGAAUUACUGGGCGUAAAGGGCGCGCAGGCGGCCGAUCAAGUUAGAUGUGAAAUACCCGGGCUUAACCUGGGAACUGCAUUUAAAACUGGUUGGCUAGGAGUGCAGGAGAGGGAAGCGGAAUUCCUAGUGUAGCGGUGAAAUGCGUAGAUAUUAGGAGGAACACCAGUGGCGAAGGCGGCUUUCUGGACUGUAACUGACGCUGAGGCGCGAAAGCGUGGGGAGCGAACAGGAUUAGAUACCCUGGUAGUCCACGCUGUAAACGAUGAA
Molecule: ribosomal RNA, 790 nt
Filed under: uncultured bacterium
Lineage: Bacteria
Description: bacterial SSU rRNA
Rfam family: Bacterial small subunit ribosomal RNA
Source: RNAcentral